RNAcentral lists this ribosomal RNA (111 nucleotides) under Kushneria pakistanensis. Lineage: Bacteria; Pseudomonadati; Pseudomonadota; Gammaproteobacteria; Oceanospirillales; Halomonadaceae. The record is from RNAcentral.
UGACGACCAUAGCGUACCGGUCCCACCCGAUCCCAUCCCGAACUCGGCAGUGAAACGGUUCCGCGCCGAUGGUAGUGUGGGGUCUCCCCAUGCGAGAGUAGGUCAUCGUCA